AGUAAAGUCAGCUAAACCCCCAAGCUAGUAGGUUCAUACCCUAAAAAUAGAAUUUAUUCUCUUUACUA
This 68-nucleotide transfer RNA is filed under the name Megaris sp. Its description in RNAcentral is "tRNA-Met". The record is from RNAcentral. Lineage: Eukaryota; Metazoa; Arthropoda; Insecta; Hemiptera; Megarididae.